AUUGAACGCUGGCGGCAGGCCUAACACAUGCAAGUCGAACGAGUGGCGGACGGGUGAGUAAUGUCUGGGAAACUGCCUGAUGGAGGGGGAUAACUACUGGAAACGGUAGCUAAUACCGCAUACCAUCGGAUGUGCCCAGAUGGGAUUAGCUAGUAGGUGGGGGAAAGGGUCACCUAGGCGACGAUCCCUAGCGGGUCUGAGAGUAUGAAAAGCCACACUGGAACGGAGACACGGUCCAGACGCCUACGGGAGGCAGCAGUGGGGAAUAUUUCACAAUGGGCUCAAGCCUGAUGCAGCCAUGCCGCGUGUAUGAAGAAGGCCUGCGGGUUGGAAAGUACUUUCAGCGGGGAGGCUUUACCAGAAGAAGAAGCACCGGCUAACUCCGUGCCAGCCGCCGCGGUAAUAC
RNAcentral lists this ribosomal RNA (406 nucleotides) under uncultured bacterium. RNAcentral describes it as "partial 16S ribosomal RNA". It matches the Rfam family "Bacterial small subunit ribosomal RNA", at positions 30 to 526 of the family's 1533-position model. The record is from RNAcentral.